GCCUGGGUAGCUCAGACGGUAAAGCAUCAGAUUUUUAAUAUGAGAGGCCAGGGUUCAAGUCCCUGUUCAGGCG
This is a non-coding RNA of Lampris incognitus (smalleye Pacific opah), 73 nucleotides long. The record is from the annotation of a RefSeq genome assembly. NCBI's taxonomy places the organism in Eukaryota, Metazoa, Chordata, Actinopteri, Lampriformes, Lampridae.